AGUGAACGCUGGCGGUAGGCAUAACACAUGCAAGUCGAACGGCAGCACAGAGGAGCUUGCUCCUUGGGUGGCGAGUGGCGGACGGGUGAGGAAUACAUCGGAAUCUACUCUGUCGUGGGGGAUAACGUAGGGAAACUUACGCUAAUACCGCAUACGACCUACGGGUGAAAGCAGGGGACCUUCGGGCCUUGCGCGAUUGAAUGAGCCGAUGUCGGAUUAGCUAGUUGGCGGGGUAAAGGCCCACCAAGGCGACGAUCCGUAGCUGGUCUGAGGGGCUGAACAGCCACACUGGAACUGAGACACGGUCCAGACUCCUACGGGAGGCAGCAGUGGGGAAUAUUGGACAAUGGGCGCAAGCCUGAUCCAGCCAUACCGCGUGGGUGAAGAAGGCCUUCGGGUUGUAAAGCCCUUUUGUUGGGAAAGAAAUCCAGCUGGCUAAUACCCGGUUGGGAUGACGGUACCCAAAGAAUAAGCACCGGCUAACUUCGUGCCAGCAGCCGCCGUAA
Molecule: ribosomal RNA, 506 nt
Filed under: uncultured bacterium
Lineage: Bacteria
Description: partial 16S ribosomal RNA
Rfam family: Bacterial small subunit ribosomal RNA
Source: RNAcentral